CCAUGGGAGCGGCGAGCGCCCGAAGUCCGUGUCGCAACUGUCGCAAGGCAGGGCAAGCGGCCGAAGGCGAGCGCCGUGACUGGGGCG
This 87-nucleotide ribosomal RNA is filed under the name uncultured bacterium. Its description in RNAcentral is "partial 16S ribosomal RNA". The record is from RNAcentral.